This 67-nucleotide transfer RNA is filed under the name Hypolimnas anthedon (variable eggfly). RNAcentral's name for it is "tRNA-Ser". Lineage: Eukaryota; Metazoa; Arthropoda; Insecta; Lepidoptera; Nymphalidae. The record is from RNAcentral.
AAUUAAUGAGCUUGUUAAUAAGCAUUUGUUUUGAAAACAUAAGAAAGAAUCUUUAUUCUAUUAAUUU